ACGAACGCUGGCGGCAUGGAUUAGGCAUGCAAGUCGAACGGUUUAACAGGGGCAACUCUGUUAAGCAGUGGCGAAAGGGUGAGGAACACGUGAGUAACCUACCCUCAAGUUGGGAAUAGCUCCGGGAAACUGGAAUUAAUACCGAAUGUGAAUGUUUUUCCGCAUGGGAAGACAUUUAAAGAUUCAUCGCUUGAGGAUGGGCUCGCGUCCCAUUAGCUAGUUGGCAGGGUAACGGCCUACCAAGGCAAAGAUGGGUAGCUGGUCUGAGAGGAUGGUCAGCCACACUGGAACUGAGACACUGUCCAGACUCCUACGGGAGGCUGCAGUCGAGAAUCUUCGGCAAUGCGCGAAAGCGUGACCGAGCGAUGCCGCGUGCAGGAUGACGAGCUUCGGUUUGUAAACUGCUGUCACCGGGGACGAAUUUUGACGGUACCCGGAGAGGAAGCCACGGCUAACUACGU
This 461-nucleotide ribosomal RNA is filed under the name uncultured bacterium. RNAcentral describes it as "bacterial SSU rRNA". It matches the Rfam family "Bacterial small subunit ribosomal RNA", at positions 29 to 506 of the family's 1533-position model. The record is from RNAcentral.